CCUACGGGUGGCAGCAGUGGGGAAUAUUGGACAAUGGGCGAAAGCCUGAUCCAGCCAUGCCGCGUGUGUGAAGAAGGCCUUCGGGUUGUAAAGCACUUUCAGUGGGGAAGAAAGCCUUGGGGCUAAUACCCUCGAGGAAGGACAUCACCCACAGAAGAAGCACCGGCUAACUCCGUGCCAGCAGCCGCGGUAAUACGGAGGGUGCGAGCGUUAAUCGGAAUUACUGGGCGUAAAGCGCGCGUAGGCGGUCUGAUAAGCCGGUUGUGAAAGCCCCGGGCUCAACCUGGGAACGGCAUCCGGAACUGUCAGGCUAGAGGGCAGGAGAGGAAGGUAGAAUUCCCGGUGUAGCGGUGAAAUGCGGAGAGAUCGGGAGGAAUACCAGUGGCGAAGGCGGCCUUCUGGACUGACACUGACGCUGAGGUGCGAAAGCGUGGGUAGCAAACAGGAUUAGAUACCCUUGUAGUC
Molecule: ribosomal RNA, 465 nt
Filed under: Vreelandella stevensii
Lineage: Bacteria; Pseudomonadati; Pseudomonadota; Gammaproteobacteria; Oceanospirillales; Halomonadaceae
Description: partial 16S ribosomal RNA
Rfam family: Bacterial small subunit ribosomal RNA
Source: RNAcentral